Molecule: long non-coding RNA, 804 nt
Organism: Zonotrichia leucophrys gambelii
Lineage: Eukaryota; Metazoa; Chordata; Aves; Passeriformes; Passerellidae
Exons: 4
Source: RefSeq, a predicted model, not a curated record
UACAGGGUUUGGACUUUCAUAUACCAGAAAUUUGGUAACUCUCUACAGCGAAAUAUAAACUCAUAUUAGGAAAGUUCUAGGUGAUAGUCAAUGUCAACUAGUGUUGUAGAAGAGUGUAUUGAAAACCAGUAUAUACAAUUUUUAUAUGUGUGUGCAUAGAUUUUGGAUUGGAUAUUAGGGAAAUUUUUUUCACUGCAGGGGUUGUCAGACACCAGAAGGGGCUGCUCAGGACAGUGGUGGAAUCACCAUCCCUGGAGUUCUUAAAAAAAAUCUGUGAAUGUGGCACUUGGAGAGAUGGAUUAGUGAUGAACUAGGCAGUACAGGCUUAACAGUUGGACUUGUCUUUGAGGUCUUUUCCAACCUUAAAAACUCUAACAUCUAUGAUUCUUGGAUAUUCUCCAGGCAUCUGGUGAGAAUGAAAAGAACAACUGCACAAAGGGAAGACUGAGGCUCUCCACUUGUCUGCAUAAAAUCAAAGGUCUGCAGAGGGGGAAGGAAGAGAUCUGGAAGUGAGACUGCCAAAAGAUUAGGAUGAGGACACAAGAGAGGGGCAUCUGCUCCAGGCAGUAUAAAGAAUGCUGAAAUACAUUACCAACAUGCCAAGAGACAUUUCAAGCACAGCAAACACCAGUGCCCCUCAUGCAGUUGGAGCUCUUCUGUCAUCCACAAACAGAUGCAUAUUCUUCCCUUCAUCUUUCCAACACUCCAUGGACAAGUCUCUAUCAGUACACUACGGUAAGAUCACCAAACUGCUGGAAGUCUCCCUGUGCAGGAAAUCAUUUCCAGGCCUCCUGUUGAGGAACC